This 73-nucleotide transfer RNA is filed under the name Alphaproteobacteria bacterium ADurb.Bin100. RNAcentral describes it as "tRNA-Pro". The record is from RNAcentral. Lineage: Bacteria; Pseudomonadati; Pseudomonadota; Alphaproteobacteria.
CAGCCACCUGGUCAAGGUGCUGGCUUUCGGGCUGGGGCUCUGGCUGCUGGCGAUCGUUGCGCUGGUGGCUGUC